AAUAGCACCUGUACGACGUAUAAAAAGCUUGCCACUCGGAUGUCAGAUACAGAUUCCACAACUUGGGUAGUACAGAGAAGUGAAAAAUACGAAAAGAAAAAAUGAAGAAUUUAUUCCUAAUUUUCUUGGUAACAAUUGUGCUGGCAAUCGGGGGCGUCAUUGCAUAUGAUCCAAUGACUAAACCUGCGAAUAGAUGGAACUAUGAUCAGAAGCAGUAUCCCGUACCGAAACCUAUGAAACGUUGCUCGUUUGUCAACGGAAAAUGGAUCGGAUUAUGUCGCUGAAAGGAAACCAACUUAUGAAAGCUUGAAUAAAAUAUAAAAGCAUUUUUCCAAUAA
Molecule: long non-coding RNA, 338 nt
Organism: Culex pipiens pallens (northern house mosquito)
Lineage: Eukaryota; Metazoa; Arthropoda; Insecta; Diptera; Culicidae
Exons: 2
Source: RefSeq, a predicted model, not a curated record